RNAcentral lists this unclassified non-coding RNA (334 nucleotides) under Hevea brasiliensis (rubber tree). Lineage: Eukaryota; Viridiplantae; Streptophyta; Magnoliopsida; Malpighiales; Euphorbiaceae. The record is from RNAcentral.
UAGUUGUCAAAUCAAGAUUCAAAUUGAGAAUCGAAAUCUUUAUUUUGUGAAUUGAGAAUUGAGAAUCAAAUCGAAUAAUAAGAUUCGAUAAAAAUUCUCCAAAUAUAUUAAAAAUGAUAUAUGUUAUAAAAAAAAGUAAUACACACACACACAUAAUGGCAUAAUGGCAUACAUAUAUACAUAUACAUAUAUGUAUAUAUAUGUCAUUUAGCAAAUGAGAAAGAUGCUUUAUAAUUACGUUACAUAGUUUUGUGUUAUAAAAUAUGAACUCUUGAAUUGUAAACAAUGAUUAUCAUUGAGCAUGUCCUGAAACUCCCAUUUAAAUUUGAUCAAA